GACGAACGCUGGCGGCGUGCCUAAUACAUGCAAGUCGAACGCAGUGGGGACGGGUGAGUAACACGUGGGUAACCUCCCAUCAGAGGGGAUAACACUUGGAAACAGGUGCUAAACCGAUACUGAUGGAUGGACCCGCGGUGCAUUAGCUAGUUGGUGAGGUAACGGCUCACCAAGGCCACGAUGCAUAGACGAACUGAGAGGGGGAUCGGGCAAACGGGAACGGAGACACGGCCGAGACUCCUAGGGGAGGCAGCAGUAGGGAAUCUUCGGCAAUGGACGAAAGUCUGACCGAGCGACGCCGCGUGAGGGAAGAAGGUUUUCGGAUCGGAAAACUCUGUUGUUAGAGAAGCGGUAGCUAACCAGAAAGCCACGGCUGACUACGUGCCAGCAGCCGCGGUAAUUC
RNAcentral lists this ribosomal RNA (403 nucleotides) under uncultured bacterium. RNAcentral's name for it is "partial 16S ribosomal RNA". It matches the Rfam family "Bacterial small subunit ribosomal RNA", at positions 28 to 526 of the family's 1533-position model. The record is from RNAcentral.